AGCGAACGCUGGCGGCAGGCUUAACACAUGCAAGUCGAGCGGGCACUUCGGUGUCAGCGGCAGACGGGUGAGUAACACGUGGGAACGUACCCUUUGGUUCGGAAUAACGCUGGGAAACUAGCGCUAAUACCGGAUACGCCCUUUUGGGGAAAGGCUUGCUGCCGAAGGAUCGGCCCGCGUCUGAUUAGCUGGUUGGUGGGGUAAUGGCCUUCCAAGGCGGCGAUCGGUAGCUGGUCUGGGAGGAUGAUCAGCCACACUGGGACUGAGACACGGCCCAGACUCCUACGGGUGGCAGCAGUGGUGAUUAUUGGACACUGGGCGCAAGCCUGAGCCAGCCAGGCCGCGUGACUGAUGAAGGCCUUAGGGUUGUAAGGCUCUUUUGUCCGGGACGAUAAUGACGGUACCGGAAGAAUAGGCCCCGGCUAACUUCGU
Molecule: ribosomal RNA, 432 nt
Filed under: uncultured bacterium
Lineage: Bacteria
Description: partial 16S ribosomal RNA
Rfam family: Bacterial small subunit ribosomal RNA
Source: RNAcentral